GAUGAACGCUGGCGGCGUGCCUAAUACAUGCAAGUCGAGCGAACGGACGAGAAGCUUGCUUUUCUGAUGUUAGCGGCGGACGGGUGAGUAACACGUGGAUAACCUACCUAUAAGACUGGGAUAACUUCGGGAAACCGGAGCUAAUACCGGAUAAUAUUUUGAACCGCAUGGUUCAAAAGUGAAAGACGGUCUUGCUGUCACUUAUAGAUGGAUCCGCGCUGCAUUAGCUAGUUGGUAAGGUAACGGCUUACCAAGGUAACGAUGCAUAGCCGACCUGAGAGGGUGAUCGGCCACACUGGAACUGAGACACGGUCCAGACUCCUACGGGAGGCAGCAGUAGGGAAUCUUCCGCAAUGGGCGAAAGCCUGACGGAGCAACGCCGCGUGAGUGAUGAAGGUCUUCGGAUCGUAAAACUCUGUUAUUAGAGAAGAACAUAUGUGUAAGUAACUGUGCACAUCUUGACGGUACCUAAUCAGAAAGCCACGGCUAACUACGUG
This 497-nucleotide ribosomal RNA is filed under the name uncultured bacterium. RNAcentral describes it as "partial 16S ribosomal RNA". It matches the Rfam family "Bacterial small subunit ribosomal RNA", at positions 28 to 507 of the family's 1533-position model. The record is from RNAcentral.